GGGCAGUGCGGCUGCUAUACAUGCAGUCGAACGCUUCUUUUUCCACCGGAGCUUGCUCCACCGGAAAAAGAGGAGUGGCGAACGGGUGAGUAACACGUGGGUAACCUGCCCAUCAGAAGGGGAUAACACUUGGAAACAGGUGCUAAUACCGUAUAACAAUCAAAACCGCAUGGUUUUGAUUUGAAAGGCGCUUUCGGGUGUCGCUGAUGGAUGGACCCGCGGUGCAUUAGCUAGUUGGUGAGGUAACGGCUCACCAAGGCCACGAUGCAUAGCCGACCUGAGAGGGUGAUCGGCCACAUUGGGACUGAGACACGGCCCAAACUCCUACGGGAGGCAGCAGUAGGGAAUCUUCGGCAAUGGACGAAAGUCUGACCGAGCAACGCCGCGUGAGUGAAGAAGGUUUUCGGAUCGUAAAACUCUGUUGUUAGAGAAGAACAAGGAUGAGAGUAACUGUUCAUCCCUUGACGGUAUCUAACCAGAAAGCCACGGCUAACUACGUGCCAGCAGCCGCGGUAAUACGUAGGUGGCAAGCGUUGUCCGGAUUUAUUGGGCGUAAAGCGAGCGCAGGCGGUUUCUUAAGUCUGAUGUGAAAGCCCCCGGCUCAACCGGGGAGGGUCAUUGGAAACUGGGAGACUUGAGUGCAGAAGAGGAGAGUGGAAUUCCAUGUGUAGCGGUGAAAUGCGUAGAUAUAUGGAGGAACACCAGUGGCGAAGGCGGCUCUCUGGUCUGUAACUGACGCUGAGGCUCGAAAGCGUGGGGAGCAAACAGGAUUAGAUACCCUGGUAGUCCACGCCGUAAACGAUGAGUGCUAAGUGUUGGAGGGUUUCCGCCCUUCAGUGCUGCAGCUAACGCAUUAAGCACUCCGCCUGGGGAGUACGACCGCAAGGUUGAAACUCAAAGGAAUUGACGGGGGCCCGCACAAGCGGUGGAGCAUGUGGUUUAAUUCGAAGCAACGCGAAGAACCUUACCAGGUCUUGACAUCCUUUGACCACUCUAGGAGAUAGAGCUUCCCCUUCGGGGGCAAAGUGACAGGUGGUGCAUGGUUGUCGUCAGCUCGUGUCGUGAGAUGUUGGGUUAAGUCCCGCAACGGAGGCGGCAACCCUUAUUGUUAGGU
This 1114-nucleotide ribosomal RNA is filed under the name Enterococcus faecium. Its description in RNAcentral is "bacterial SSU rRNA". It matches the Rfam family "Bacterial small subunit ribosomal RNA", at positions 37 to 1116 of the family's 1533-position model. Lineage: Bacteria; Bacillati; Bacillota; Bacilli; Lactobacillales; Enterococcaceae. The record is from RNAcentral.